UACGUAGGGUGCGAGCGUUGUCCGGAAUUAUUGGGCGUAAAGGGCUCGUAGGCGGUUUGUCGCGUCGGGAGUGAAAUCCCCUGGCUUAACUGGUGGCUUGCUUUCGAUACGGGCAGACUGGAGGUAUGCAGGGGAGAACGGAAUUCCUGGUGUAGCGGUGAAAUGCGCAGAUAUCAGGAGGAACACCGGUGGCGAAGGCGGCUCACUGGACCGGUACUGACGCUGAUGCGCGAAAGCGUGGGGAGCAAACGGG
RNAcentral lists this ribosomal RNA (253 nucleotides) under uncultured bacterium. Its description in RNAcentral is "partial 16S ribosomal RNA". It matches the Rfam family "Bacterial small subunit ribosomal RNA", at positions 524 to 776 of the family's 1533-position model. The record is from RNAcentral.